UGGAACGAGUUAUCGUCUCCGGCCCAGGAGACCAAAACUACGGUGUCUCCCCUGCUCCUUCUGCCCACGGGCGGGAGGCUGAAGCAGGAAAAGUUAACACCAGGAUCAACAUCGGCCGGGCAAUCAAGGAGGAGGGACCAUCGUUUGUAGGAACCAACGUGAUCCUCCUCCACCCCGAUCUCUACAGUCUUCAUCACAUCCAGUGCACAAGGUUCCUUCUACUGAGCUCAUCAGAAGUCCCGCUCCACAUCCCAUCAUCCAGAUCUUCAGCCAACUCUCUGUUUGGACUCACAGUGGGGGAAUAUUCCUUUACUAACCACGGCACCACUACCCCCCCAAAUAUGACCACGUCAGCAUGGACUGUAAUCGCCAAAGACUCUCCACAAUUCUAACUUUAUUGUGCACCAUGUAAUAAAUGUAUAUGUUUACUGUAAA
Sebastes umbrosus (honeycomb rockfish) is the source of this 435-nucleotide long non-coding RNA. RefSeq lists it as uncharacterized. The transcript is spliced from 2 exons. The record is from RefSeq and is a predicted model, not a curated record. NCBI's taxonomy places the organism in Eukaryota, Metazoa, Chordata, Actinopteri, Perciformes, Sebastidae.